RNAcentral lists this ribosomal RNA (369 nucleotides) under uncultured organism. Its description in RNAcentral is "bacterial SSU rRNA". It matches the Rfam family "Bacterial small subunit ribosomal RNA", at positions 526 to 896 of the family's 1533-position model. The record is from RNAcentral.
CGAACUGUGCAAACGUUAUUCGGAAUCACUGGGCUUGAAGAGUGCGUAGGCGGUUUCGUAAGUAGGGUGUGAAAGCCCCCGGCCCAACCGGGGAACUGCGCCCUAAACUGCGAGGCUGGAGUGAGGUAGGGGUGUGUGGAACUUCCAGUGGAGCGGUGAAAUGUGUUGAUAUUGGAAGGAACGCCGGUGGCGAAAGCGACACACUGGACCUUGUCUGACGCUGAGGCACGAAAGCCAGGGGAGCAAACGGGAUUAGAUACCCCGGUAGUCCUGGCCGUAAACUAUGAGUACUAGUGGGGAGGGAGCAAUCCCUUCCUCACGGAGCGAAAGUUUUAAGUACUCCGCCUGGGGAGUAUGGUCGCAAGGCUG